RNAcentral lists this ribosomal RNA (468 nucleotides) under uncultured bacterium. RNAcentral describes it as "partial 16S ribosomal RNA". It matches the Rfam family "Bacterial small subunit ribosomal RNA", at positions 28 to 507 of the family's 1533-position model. The record is from RNAcentral.
GACGAACGCUGGCGGCGUGCUUAACACAUGCAAGUCGAACGGAAAGGCCCUGCAUUUGUGGGAUGCUCGAGUGGCGAACGGGUGAGUAACACGUGAGUAACCUGCCCUUUACUUUGGGAUAACUUCAGGAAACUGGGGCUAAUAUCGGAUAUGAGCUCCUUCUGCAUGGUGGGUGUUGUAAAGUUUCGGCGGUUGGGGAUGGACUCGCGGCUUAUCAGCUUGUUGGUGGGGUAGUGGCUUACCAAGGCUUUGACGGGUAGCCGGACUGAGAGGGUGACCGGCCACAUUGGGACUGAGAUACGGGCCAGACUCAUACGGGAGGCAGCAGUGGGGAAUAGUGCAAAAUGGGCGGAAGCCUGAUGCAGCAACGCCGCGUGCGGGAUGACGGCUUUCGGGUUGUAAACCGCUUGCGCCUGUGACGAAGAGUGAGUGACGGUAAUGGGUAAAGAAGCAACGGCUAACUACGUG